GAUGAACGCUGGCGGCGCGCCUAACACAUGCAAGUCGAACGGUUAAAGCACCUUUUAGGUGUGUAUAAAGUGGCGAACGGCUGAGUAACACGUGGGCAACCUGCCCUCCUCUUGGGGAUAGCCUCGGGAAACCGAGGAUAAUACCCGAUACUUCAAUGUGGCCGCAUGACGACAUUGAGAAAGCUUUUGCGGAGAAGGAUGGGCCCGCGGCCUGUUAGCUUGUUGGUGGGGUAGAGGCCUACCAAGGCAAUGAUGGGUAGCUGGGUUGAGAGACCGACCAGCCAGAUUGGGACUGAGACACGGCCCAGACUCCUACGGGAGGCAGCAGUGGGGAAUCUUGCACAAUGGGCGAAAGCCUGAUGCAGCGACGCCGCGUGCGGGACGAAGGCCUUCGGGUUGUAAACCGCUUUCAGCAGGGACGAGGCGAAAGUGACGGUACCUGCAGAAGAAGCC
RNAcentral lists this ribosomal RNA (453 nucleotides) under Lancefieldella rimae. RNAcentral's name for it is "bacterial SSU rRNA". It matches the Rfam family "Bacterial small subunit ribosomal RNA", at positions 28 to 492 of the family's 1533-position model. Lineage: Bacteria; Bacillati; Actinomycetota; Coriobacteriia; Coriobacteriales; Atopobiaceae. The record is from RNAcentral.